AACAUUUGGCCUUUCCUUUUGAAGCAGAAACUGCUUCUUUUGGGGUUUUCUUAACCCUUUGGCCGCCGUUCAGCCCACGUCCCAAUUUCGUCGGAGGGGACACCAGCUCGACGACUCCGGCGAAAGGUAAGUCUCCCUUUUUCUUUCUUUUUCGUAUUUUAAAGAAAAGAAAUAAAAGAUAAUAAUGAAAUAACAACAAAAUAGAACGAAAGAACAAAACUUUCUUUCCCUUUUUCAUUACAUGCGCAGAAACAAAAUAAAAAAAUAACUAAAACACUUCUAAUAAUCACCUUAAAAACUGAUCUUUGCUCUAUUAUACAUAUUUUUUCCUCUGUAUUUUUUCCGUAUCUUUUUUACCCAAUCCCCCCCUUUUUACACAAUAUCAAUGGCUUUUUAUAGCUCGAAAUAAAAAACUAAAUCGAAUCUAUCUGCUAUUUUCUCUCUAUUGGACUCAUUGAGUUCGUUUUGCAGGAAAUCGAGGAGAGUUUGGCGCGCGUGGAGAGGGGUCGGCCCCGAGUCGUGCGGCGCUUGGAGAGGCCGCUGGAGGCGAGGGCUGUUGCGACGCUGAGGGCUUGUUGCGGCGCUCCCUAUUGCUUAGGGCUAGGAUUCCUUUCUCUUUUGUUUUUUUUGUGUGUUUUGGGCUGAUGUCUGUGUUGGGCUUAGGUUGGUUUUGUUAUUGGGCCACUUAUUUGUUGGGCCUUAGACGAGUUUAGGCCUGCUAUUAAAAAACUGAAAUUGCCUGCUUUGUUUUUUUGUUUGGGCCCGGGCAAUUUGGGCUUGUACAUUUAGCAUGAAAAAAUUCAUGGUAUGUACAUUAUAUGUUGAUUAGGAAUUUUUUUUAUGAAAUUGACUUAGGAUGUUGAAAUUAGUUUUGUUAGGAAAAUAACAUUAAAAG
Molecule: long non-coding RNA, 895 nt
Filed under: Gossypium raimondii (Peruvian cotton)
Lineage: Eukaryota; Viridiplantae; Streptophyta; Magnoliopsida; Malvales; Malvaceae
Description: long non-coding RNA (GRAI_LNC008753)
Source: RNAcentral